UCUUCUAUUAGCACCUACAAAUUAACAGGAAAGCAAAACAUAUUUUAGUCAAGACUCUAUACAUCCAUGAACUAUUCUAACUAAGUGCAAUAUAUAUAUAGAUAUACUCAAAACCAACAUACAGAAGAAGUUCUUUGUUCUCCAUCCACCACCUUCCUUGGCCUGCCAACCUUCCUCUUCACUGAGGUACUGCUCUCUUGUUCCCCAUCCUCCUUAUUCUUCC
RNAcentral lists this long non-coding RNA (223 nucleotides) under Carica papaya (papaya). Its description in RNAcentral is "long non-coding RNA (CPAP_LNC013592)". The record is from RNAcentral. Lineage: Eukaryota; Viridiplantae; Streptophyta; Magnoliopsida; Brassicales; Caricaceae.